RNAcentral lists this ribosomal RNA (350 nucleotides) under uncultured bacterium. RNAcentral describes it as "bacterial SSU rRNA". It matches the Rfam family "Bacterial small subunit ribosomal RNA", at positions 917 to 1271 of the family's 1533-position model. The record is from RNAcentral.
GGGCCCGCACAAGCGGUGGAGCAUGUGGUUUAAUUCGAUGAUACGCGAGGAACCUUACCAGGGCUUAAAUGCAGAACGACAGAGGUGGAAACACCUCCUUCUUCGGACGGUCUGCAAGGUGCUGCAUGGUUGUCGUCAGCUCGUGCUGUGAAGUGUCGGGUUAAGUCCCAUAACGAGCGCAACCCCUAUUUCUAGUUGCCAGCGGUUCGGCCGGGGACUCUAGAGAAACUGCCAGCGUAAGCUGUGAGGAAGGUGGGGAUGACGUCAAAUCAUCACGGCCCUUACGUCCUGGGCUACACACGUGCUACAAUGGUAGGGACAGAGGGAAGCCACCCCGCGAGGGGAGCGGA